This 255-nucleotide ribosomal RNA is filed under the name Enterobacter hormaechei. RNAcentral describes it as "partial 23S ribosomal RNA". It matches the Rfam family "Bacterial large subunit ribosomal RNA", at positions 1639 to 1877 of the family's 2925-position model. Lineage: Bacteria; Pseudomonadati; Pseudomonadota; Gammaproteobacteria; Enterobacterales; Enterobacteriaceae. The record is from RNAcentral.
AAAUCGUACCCCAAACCGACACAGGUGGUCAGGUAGAGAAUACCAAGGCGCUUGAGAGAACUCGGGUGAAGGAACUAGGCAAAAUGGUGCCGUAACUUCGGGAGAAGGCACGCUGAUAUGUAGGUGAAGUCCCUGCGGACGGAGCUGAAAUCAGUCGAAGAUACCAGCUGGCUGCAACUGUUUAUUAAAAACACAGCACUGUGCAAACACGAAAGUGGACGUAUACGGUGUGACGCCUGCCCGGUGCCGGAAGGU